UAAGACAGAGGGUGCAAACGUUGCUCGGAAUCACUGGGCGUAAAGGGCGUGUAGGCGGGAAGAUAAGUCAGGUGUGAAAUCCCCAGGCUCAACCUGGGAACUGCACUUGAAACUGUCUUUCUUGAGUGUCGGAGAGGAAAGUGGAAUUCCUGGUGUAGAGGUGAAAUUCGUAGAUAUCAGGAGGAACACCGGUGGCGAAGGCGGCUUUCUGGACGACAACUGACGCUGAGACGCGAAAGCGUGGGGAGCAAACAGGAUUAGAUACCCUGGUAGUCCACGCUGUAAACGAUGAACACUAGGUGCUGCGGGUAUUGACCCCUGCAGUGCCGAAGCUAACGCAUUAAGUGUUCCGCCUGGGAAGUACGGUCGCAAGACUA
This 377-nucleotide ribosomal RNA is filed under the name uncultured bacterium. RNAcentral's name for it is "bacterial SSU rRNA". It matches the Rfam family "Bacterial small subunit ribosomal RNA", at positions 521 to 896 of the family's 1533-position model. The record is from RNAcentral.